AACGAACGCUGGCGGCAUGCCUAACACAUGCAAGUCGAACGAGAUCUUCGGGUCUAGUGGCGCACGGUUGCGUAACGCGUGGGAAACUGCCCUUUGGUUCGGAAUAACAGUUGGAAACGACUGCUAAUACCGGAUGAUGACGAAAGUCCAAAGAUUUAUCGCCAGAGGAUGAGCCCGCGUAGGAUUAGCUAGUUGGUGUGGUAAAGGCGCACCAAGGCGACGAUCCUUAGCUGGUCUGAGAGGAUGAUCAGCCACACUGGGACUGAGACACGGCCCAGACUCCUACGGGAGGCAGCAGUGGGGAAUAUUGGACAAUGGGCGAAAGCCUGAUCCAGCAAUGCCGCGUGAGUGAUGAAGGCCUUAGGGUUGUAAAGCUCUUUUACCCGGGAUGAUAAUGACAGUACCGGGAGAAUAAGCUCCGGCUAACUCCGUGCCAGCAGCCGCGGUAA
This 449-nucleotide ribosomal RNA is filed under the name uncultured bacterium. RNAcentral describes it as "partial 16S ribosomal RNA". It matches the Rfam family "Bacterial small subunit ribosomal RNA", at positions 29 to 523 of the family's 1533-position model. The record is from RNAcentral.